UUGGAGGGCAAGUCUGGUGCCAGCAGCCGCGGUAAUUCCAGCUCCAAUAGCGUAUAUUAAACUUGUUGCAGUUAAAAAGCUCGUAGUUGUAUUUUUGCGUUAGCGGUUUGACCAUUUGGUUGGUUAUUUCGUUUUCGCUUUUGGGAAUUUCCCUUUUUACUUUGAGAAAAUUAGAGUGUUUCAAGCAGACUUUUGUCUUGAAUACUUCAGCAUGGAAUAAUAGAGUAGGACUUUGGUUCUAUUUUGUUGGUUAUUGAACCUUAGUAAUGGUUAAUAGGAACGGUUGGGGGCAUUCGUAUUUAACUGUCAGAGGUGAAAUUCUUAGAUUUGUUAAAGACGAACUACUGCGAAAGCAUUUGCCAAGGACGUUUCCAUUAAUCAAGAACGAAAGUUAGGGGAUCGAAGACGAUCAGAUACCGU
This 420-nucleotide ribosomal RNA is filed under the name Babesia canis. RNAcentral describes it as "SSU rRNA". It matches the Rfam family "Eukaryotic small subunit ribosomal RNA", at positions 548 to 1018 of the family's 1831-position model. Lineage: Eukaryota; Apicomplexa; Aconoidasida; Piroplasmida; Babesiidae. The record is from RNAcentral.